GUCUUUUUGAAUUAAAUUUAAAGUCUGACCUGCCCACUGAAAAUUUUAAAUGGCCGCAGUAUUCUAACUGUGCAAAGGUAGCAUAAUCAUUAGUCUUUUAAUUGAAGGCUGGAAUGAAUGGUUGGACGAAAUAUUAACUGUUUCAUUUAAAUUUUUUAUAAAAUUUUAUUUUUUAGUCAAAAAGCUAAAAUAAAUUUAAAAGACGAGAAGACCCUAUAAAUCUUUAUAUUUUGUUUAUUUUAAUUAUAAAGAUUAUUUUUAUUAUAAUAAAUUAAAAUAUUUUAUUGGGGUGAUAUUAAAAUUUAAAAAACUUUUAAUUUUUAAAACCAUUAAUUUAUGAAUAAUUGAUCCAUUAAUAAUGAUUAAAAAUUUAAGUUACUUUAGGGAUAACAGCGUAAUUUUUUUGGAGAGUUCAUAUCGAUAAAAAAGAUUGCGACCUCGAUGUUGGAUUAAGAUAUAAUUUUGGGUGUAGCCGUUCAAAUUUUAAGUCUGUUCGACUUUUAAAUUCUU
This 510-nucleotide ribosomal RNA is filed under the name Drosophila clavitibia. Its description in RNAcentral is "partial 16S ribosomal RNA". It matches the Rfam family "Bacterial large subunit ribosomal RNA", at positions 1819 to 2597 of the family's 2925-position model. Lineage: Eukaryota; Metazoa; Arthropoda; Insecta; Diptera; Drosophilidae. The record is from RNAcentral.